UGAGGACUGGCGUCGAUUUGUGCAGGAUAUGAAGGUUAAUCUCAGGAAAGUGAAUGUCCACAAAGGGGAAGGUGUUUUUGGUUAUAGACCAUGGCACAAGAUUCGAGUAGGAGAUAUAGUGAAAGUAGAGAAGGAUCAGUUCUUUCCAGCCGAUCUGCUUCUCUUGUCAUCGUGCUAUGAGGACGGUAUAUGUUAUGUGGAAACGAUGAAUUUGGAUG
RNAcentral lists this unclassified non-coding RNA (218 nucleotides) under Hevea brasiliensis (rubber tree). Lineage: Eukaryota; Viridiplantae; Streptophyta; Magnoliopsida; Malpighiales; Euphorbiaceae. The record is from RNAcentral.